Molecule: ribosomal RNA, 448 nt
Filed under: uncultured bacterium
Lineage: Bacteria
Description: bacterial SSU rRNA
Rfam family: Bacterial small subunit ribosomal RNA
Source: RNAcentral
UGACGGUACCUUGAUAAGAAGCACCGGCUAACUACGUGCCAGCAGCCGCGGUAAUACGUAGGGUGCGAGCGUUAAUCGGAAUUACUGGGCGUAAAGCGUGCGCAGGCGGUUUUGUAAGUCAGAUGUGAAAUCCCCGGGCUCAACCUGGGAACUGCGUUUGAAACUACAAGGCUAGAGUGUAGAAGAGGGGGGUAGAAUUCCACGUGUAGCAGUGAAAUGCGUAGAGAUGUGGAGGAAUACCGAUGGCGAAGGCAGCCCCCUGGGCUAACACUGACGCUCAUGCACGAAAGCGUGGGGAGCAAACAGGAUUAGAUACCCUGGUAGUCCACGCCCUAAACGAUGUCUACUAGUUGUUGGAGGAGUAAAAUCCUUUAGUAACGCAGCUAACGCGUGAAGUAGACCGCCUGGGGAGUACGGUCGCAAGAUUAAAACUCAAAGGAAUUGACGG